AUUGAACGCUGGCGGCAGGCCUAACACAUGCAAGUCGAACGAGUGGCGGACGGGUGAGUAAUGUCUGGGAAACUGCCUGAUGGAGGGGGAUAACUACUGGACACGGUAGCUAAUACCGCAUACCAUCAGAUGUGCCCAGAUGGGCUUAGCGAGUAGGUGGGGUAACGGCUCACCAAGGCGACGAUCCCUAGCUGGUCUGAGAGGAUGACCAGCCACACUGGAAUGGAGACACGGUCCAGACUCCUACGGUAGUCAGCAGUGGGUAAUAUUGCACAAUGGGCGCAAGCCUGAGGCAGCCAUGCCGCGUGUAUGAAGAGGGCCUUCGGGUUGUAAAGUACUUUCAGCGGGGAGGCGUUACCCGCAGAAGAAGCAGCGGCUAACUCCGUGCCAGCAGCCGCGGUAAUUC
RNAcentral lists this ribosomal RNA (406 nucleotides) under uncultured bacterium. RNAcentral describes it as "partial 16S ribosomal RNA". It matches the Rfam family "Bacterial small subunit ribosomal RNA", at positions 30 to 526 of the family's 1533-position model. The record is from RNAcentral.